Long non-coding RNA from Daphnia carinata, 2000 nucleotides. RefSeq lists it as uncharacterized. The record is from RefSeq and is a predicted model, not a curated record. Lineage: Eukaryota; Metazoa; Arthropoda; Branchiopoda; Diplostraca; Daphniidae. The transcript has 8 exons.
AGAGCAUUGAACUAUUAGUGUAGAACUACAACUCACCGCCGUAUGGCACGUGUUAUGGUCAUUGUCCAGAUCCGGUAAAAGCGACUUUCGGAUUCCCCACUUUGGAAUCAGGAAAAUUGUUCGUUCAGGUCAUCCUCCCCCUGAAUCACCAUUAUCGUUGGCUGGAAUAGUGGAUUGAGAUCUUUUCUACCCUUGUGUUUCUGACUGUUCAUCAAUAAAAGCAGGUGUUUGCUCCUGAACUUGUCUACUCUACCUGCGUAUUAACUUAACCCUGCUUCAGUAAAUGGGAAAUUCACACGGAUUCUCGUCGUGGGAAACUUUAUCCAAAAUCGUCCGCUUGCUGCUUUUCGGUCCGAGAAUGGGAGUUAGUUUCUCGCCCAGUGAACAUGUGUGUCUUUAUCGCCGUGGGACUUCGCCAACGUGUUCCGAUUACUAAUUGGACCCAAUUGAACGGGUACGAAUGUCUACACGUUGGAAGAAAGUGAAAGGAAGUAAAAGGCAAACCACAGUAUGCUGGGAAGUUUGUUUUCUUCACCCGAGUUCUUUGAAAGGAGAGGAUGACAGCUCUUUGAGUUGGUGAAUUCCGUGCACGUAAUUCACGGCGAUUCGAAUUUAAGGAACAUCCGUAUCUAUUAGUGGCGGAAACGCACGUAACCAACGCUCUUCUUACUUUGGUGUUGGUGGCUUGCCCUAUGAUGGAUCGUUUCUUGCCUGCAACCCGUCUUUCCGUGGUCUGUUUUCACUUUAGUGCUGCUCGCCAUUUUAGGCUUUCUGGGAGGCAAGUAUCUGGCGGAUUUGUUCAUGUGAGGAAAAGUAUCUGAAAACUAUGUGCAUAACCUUAAAAUGUUUCUCCCUUCCUCUCGUCACAUGGGUUCCUUGUCCUUUCUCUUGUGGAAAUUGAGUCGGGGCUUCCUACAACCGGCGGCUCGGCGAGUUACCCAGGAACAGAGGGUCACGGGAACUGGAUUAGAGGUUUGUCACUUUAUCCUAUAAAGCCGUCAAUACGUUCUUACCCAGAAUCCGCUGCUGGCCUGGCGGGGAACGGUUCGGUAAGAUAGGGUAGUUCAGGAUUUCAGCAUCAAGAGAACGUAAUUUGACGUGUAAAAGUACAAUAUAUUUAGUAACGCAUUCCUUUUCAUUAGACGUCGUUUUGAAUGUUUUAACCUAAAAUAACUUUCGAAGAUGAGAGAAAAUGGAAAAAAAAUUCGAGAAUUGAGAUUAAUGACCUAUUGUUCGUUGGUGGAUUGAAUGAUUGUUCUGGGAAUUUGCAUCUGCUAUACAUAUACAAUGACUACUCGGAUCGUGCAUGAUAGUAGGUGGAAUGGAACUGAGAGGUUGUUUAAUGAUGUUGGAAUUGUGACUCAAAAACAGGAAAGCUGUGAGGAUGGGAGAGUCUCUGAGACUUCCUGUCAUUGAAAUGGUUUUAAGUUGCCGUGUGAAUGUUUUCCGUGCAUUCUGCACAUCUGUCUUCUUUCGACGGCCGGCUCAGCAGAUUAUUGAAGACGCCCAACAUAAGCAUCUCAGCAGUGAAUGCGAUGAAGAGAGGUAAUAUUCCAAUCGUGCUUUAAUGUCGUUAUUAAUUUCCAUUUUUUUCUUAUUUAUUCGUAGCUGGGUCUAAUUUAUCGUUGGGUGAAUUGGUUUCAUUAACUGUUAAUAUUAAAGAUAUCUUACUUAAGUAGAAACAAAGUGGAAUGGUAUUGAAUUGAUGUAUUGAUCAGUAAGUGUCUUGUACUGUUCAAAUGUGAUCUCUGGCUGUCCAUAUCUCUUUUCUAGCUAUGGUUUAGUCUUAGGUAUCGUAAUUCCUUUUUUGUGUUCAUGUCUUUUCUGUUUUUUGAACUUUUUUAUUCAAAAUAUGCAAUGAUAAGAAUAGAUAGCUAAAAUGAGCUUACAUUUUUUAGGGGAAAGAAGAAAGCACAAAUAUCUAAAUCUAGCUCAAAUAUGGUUGCCAUUUCUUGUGGUGUGAGAUUGGUCAUGUUGUCAAGUCAUGAAGGUUUGCUGGU